Molecule: ribosomal RNA, 428 nt
Filed under: uncultured bacterium
Lineage: Bacteria
Description: bacterial SSU rRNA
Rfam family: Bacterial small subunit ribosomal RNA
Source: RNAcentral
GAGCUUGCUCUUAAAUCUUAGGUGGCGGACGGUGAGUAACACGUGAGCAACCUGCCUCUGAGAGAGGGAUAGCUUUCUGGAAACGGAUGGUAAUACCUCAUAACAUAGCUGGACCGCAUGAUCCGGUUAUCAAAGAUUUUAUCACUCAGAGAUGGGCUCGCGUCUGAUUAGCUAGUUGGUGAGGUAACGGCCCACCAAGGCGACGAUCAGUAGCCGGACUGAGAGGUUGAACGGCCACAUUGGGACUGAGACACGGCCCAGACUCCUACGGGAGGCAGCAGUGAGGGAUAUUGCACAAUGGAGGAAACUCCUGAUGCAGCGAUGCCGCGUGGAGGAAGAAGGUUUUCGGAUUGUAAACUCCUGUUUCGAGGGACGAUAAUGACGGUACCUCGGGAGGAAGCUCCGGCUAACUACGUGCCAGCCGCGGC